AGCAGCCGCGGUAAUUCCAGCUCCAAUAGCGUAUAUUAAAGUUGUUGCAGUUAAAAAGCUCGUAGUUGAAUUUCGGGACUAAUAUGUCGGUCGUACUUUGUACGUACUAGCAUUAUUGGUUUCUCCCUUCUGACGAACCAUGAUGUCAUUAAUUUGGUGUCUUGGGGAAUCAGGACUGUUACUUUGAAAAAUUAGAGUGUUUAAAGCAGGCUCACGCUUGAAUACAUUAGCAUGGAAUAACGAAAUAGGACGUUUGAUUCUAUUUUGUUGGUUUCUAGGAUCGACGUAAUGAUUAAUAGGGAUAGUUGGGGCGAUUAGUAUUCAAUUGUCAGAGGUGAAAUUCUUGGAUUUAUUGAAGACUAACUACUGCGAAAGCAUUUUGUCCAAGG
Molecule: ribosomal RNA, 389 nt
Filed under: uncultured Glomeromycotina
Lineage: Eukaryota; Fungi; Glomeromycota
Description: SSU rRNA
Rfam family: Eukaryotic small subunit ribosomal RNA
Source: RNAcentral